RNAcentral lists this ribosomal RNA (398 nucleotides) under Bacillus subtilis. RNAcentral describes it as "bacterial SSU rRNA". It matches the Rfam family "Bacterial small subunit ribosomal RNA", at positions 509 to 905 of the family's 1533-position model. Lineage: Bacteria; Bacillati; Bacillota; Bacilli; Caryophanales; Bacillaceae. The record is from RNAcentral.
CAGCAGCCGCGGUAAUACGUAGGUGGCAAGCGUUGUCCGGAAUUAUUGGGCGUAAAGAGGUCCCAUGCGGUUUCUUAAGUCUGAGGUGAAAGCCCCCGGGUCAACCGGGGAGGGUCAUUGGAAACUGGGGAACUUGAGUUCACAAGAGGAGAGUGGAAUUCCACCUGUAGCGGUGAAAUGCGUAGAGAUGUGGAGGAACACCAGUGGCGAAGGCGACUCUCUGGUCUGUAACUGACGCUGAGGAGCGAAAGCGUGGGGAGCGAACAGGAUUAGAUACCCUGGUAGUCCACGCCGUAAACGAUGAGUGCUAAGUGUUAGGGGGUUUCCGCCCCUUAGUGCUGCAGCUAACGCAUUAAGCACUCCGCCUGGGGAGUACGGUCGCAAGACUGAAACUCAAA